Molecule: ribosomal RNA, 548 nt
Filed under: Epicoccum sorghinum
Lineage: Eukaryota; Fungi; Ascomycota; Dothideomycetes; Pleosporales; Didymellaceae
Description: eukaryotic LSU rRNA
Rfam family: 5.8S ribosomal RNA (bases 176-329)
Source: RNAcentral
CUUCCGUAGGUGAACCUGCGGAAGGAUCAUUACCUAGAGUUUGUGGACUUCGGUCUGCUACCUCUUACCCAUGUCUUUUGAGUACCUUCGUUUCCUCGGCGGGUCCGCCCGCCGGUUGGACAACAUUCAAACCCUUUGCAGUUGCAAUCAGCGUCUGAAAAAACUUAAUAGUUACAACUUUCAACAACGGAUCUCUUGGUUCUGGCAUCGAUGAAGAACGCAGCGAAAUGCGAUAAGUAGUGUGAAUUGCAGAAUUCAGUGAAUCAUCGAAUCUUUGAACGCACAUUGCGCCCCUUGGUAUUCCAUGGGGCAUGCCUGUUCGAGCGUCAUUUGUACCUUCAAGCUCUGCUUGGUGUUGGGUGUUUUGUCUCGCCUCCGCGCGCAGACUCGCCUUAAAACAAUUGGCAGCCGGCGUAUUGAUUUCGGAGCGCAGUACAUCUCGCGCUUUGCACUCAUAACGACGACGUCCAAAAGUACAUUUUUACACUCUUGACCUCGGAUCAGGUAGGGAUACCCGCUGAACUUAAGCAUAUCAAUAAGCGGAGGAA